CCUACGGGUGGCAGCAGUGAGGAAUAUUGGUCAAUGGACGAGAGUCUGAACCAGCCAAGUAGCGUGAAGGAUGAAUGCCCUAUGGGUUGUAAACUUCUUUUAUAAAGAAAUAAAACGAGGCACGUGUGCCUUUUUGCAUGUACUUUAUGAAUAAGGAUCGGCUAACUCCGUGCCAGCAGCCGCGGUAAUACGGAGGAUCCGAGCGUUAUCCGGAUUUAUUGGGUUUAAAGGGAGCGUAGAUGGGUUGUUAAGUCAGUUGUGAAAGUUUGCGGCUCAACCGUAAAAUUGCAAUUGAUACUGGCAGUCGUGAGUACAGUUGAGGUAGGCGGAAUUCGUGGUGUAGCGGUGAAAUGCUUAGAUAUCGCGAAGAACCCCGAUUGCGAAGGCAGCUUACUAAACUGUGACUGACAUUGAUGCUCGAAAGUGUGGGUAUCAAACAGGAUUAGAUACCCUUGUAGUC
Molecule: ribosomal RNA, 460 nt
Filed under: uncultured bacterium
Lineage: Bacteria
Description: partial 16S ribosomal RNA
Rfam family: Bacterial small subunit ribosomal RNA
Source: RNAcentral